This is a long non-coding RNA of Oncorhynchus tshawytscha (Chinook salmon), 323 nucleotides long. NCBI's taxonomy places the organism in Eukaryota, Metazoa, Chordata, Actinopteri, Salmoniformes, Salmonidae. The record is from Ensembl.
AAGUGCCUUAAGGUUAAUGAGGCAAUCUUCAUCAAUUCUUUUGCCAUCUGGAGAUGCUUCGUGGCAGCAAGAUCCUGUAAUGUUCCUACAAGAAUCAGCCAUCGGAGAAUCUGCAAAGAACAUUUCAAACGGAGGUAAUUCUUCCCAGGACAGAUACAUAGGACUGGUUUCCCGGGCACAGAUUAAGCCUAGUCCUGGAAUAUAAAUCAUUUUCAACUGAGAUUCUACCAUUUAUCUCUGGGUUUUUCUGGUCCACGACUAGGCUUAAUCUGUGUGUGAAACCGCAUCUUAAAUUAUAAAGGCUUGUACAUGCAAAUAGCCAC